Molecule: unclassified non-coding RNA, 759 nt
Filed under: Hevea brasiliensis (rubber tree)
Lineage: Eukaryota; Viridiplantae; Streptophyta; Magnoliopsida; Malpighiales; Euphorbiaceae
Source: RNAcentral
AGUUGUGUGUGUGUGUGUGUGUAUAUAUGUUUCAUUUCUGUGACUAGGCAAAUCCUAAGCAGAGUCACUGCUCUAAAAUUUUAUGGUAGCUAAAAGAAGCAUAUAUACACACACACACACACACAACUCUUCAAAUACCUAUCUAGGUUUGCUAAACUAAUAUGCUUAACCAGAAAUUCAUCCUCUACCUUCUACAACCUACAAGGGGAAAAAAAUCAUUGAUAUCAAAAUGUGAGAAACAUUAAUGGCAAAACCCAGCACACCUUACAAUAUGAAUCAUAAAAUUGGUGGAGGUGGAGUCUCCCAUAUAUCAAAGACAUUUUCUUCACUGUGAAGUGCAAAGAGUCUAUCGCCACCGAUUGAAAAAUCGCAAAUUGAACCUCCAUAUAAUUGUCGAAAUCUAGAUGUCAAUACCCAGUCAGGACCACAAAACACAGAAAUGCAAUCAUCCAUUGAUGAAAACAACAGCCCCUCAUGUAAUGCCAGUUUUGGAUAACAAGGUUCAUCAGGCAUCUUCCCCUUCAUCAAACGACUCCUCGAGCUCCACCUUACACUCCCUCCACUCAUCCUUAAAUCUAUAAACCCCAAAUCCUCAUACUCAUUCACUACACAAACAGCAUUACAAUCCUCCAUAGCUAUGGCAUCUCGAACCCUUUUCUCAUCCACGGUAAUAGGAGCAUCAAUAUCAGACCAAGACCACACCAUUCUCUUCUCUCUAAAAUCCAACAUGCUAAUGUAACAGUUGUCCUUUCUAGGAAA